This 819-nucleotide long non-coding RNA is filed under the name Coturnix japonica (Japanese quail). Its description in RNAcentral is "lncRNA (ENSCJPG00005013882.1)". The record is from RNAcentral. Lineage: Eukaryota; Metazoa; Chordata; Aves; Galliformes; Phasianidae.
UCCAGAUCCAUGAUGGAAAAUGGCUGCAGUGAGCGUAUACUAAAUGAGAUUUUAGGAACUUUAAAUGACAUUACUGAAUUUUGCAUCAUACAAUAUUUUACUCAUCAUUUUGCAUUUGGAUCCUGUAGACUAAAUUGUGAGAAGCUGAAAGGAAGUACAUCAAAGAUUAUUUUUAAGACCCUCAAAGCAGUAAUAGGAGUUCAAUAAACUUCAGGCUAGCAAAAUGCAGUUUCACUUGACAGUUGUAUUAUGAGGAUGGAUGAUACCAUUAGUUGUGUUUUUCCUUUCACACCUGCUUUCACUUUCAUGCCAGAAGCUGACCCACAGUGCAGCAUGAAACAACAAUCAUUCUUACUUCAAGAUGAGAUCCAGAACUUCAGAAUGAGAUCCAGCUUGAGGCUUCUCAACAAAAGCUAUGAAGACAUAGCAAGAUGUUUGUCUUCUAGAUUCUCCAGUGCUAGCUACCCCUACCCAUCACUGAGUCAAUCCUGUGUUCAUUGUAUUUCCAUGCAAAGGAAAGAAGAAAAAUGUCUGCUGAAAGCUGUGUCAUAUGUUGGAAGUUUUUAGAAAGGUUAAAGGUAAGAAAAAUAUUUGUUUCACAACUGAAAUUAUUUUUUAUUUCAAUUAAUUUAGCUCAUUCUCAGUCUAAAUUUGUAGAAUUCAGUGCAGUUAAAGUAGGGGCAACUUUGGACCUGUAUGUUUGGAAACAAUUGUAAUUUUGUGCUAAAAUAUAAUGACAACAUGCUAUAAUUUCUGUGUGGUACUUUGUAAGGUUUGAUGCUUAUUUUUGCUGGCCAGUUUCUAUUUGAUAUCCUGCUG